GAUGAACGCUGGCGGCGUGCCUAAUACAUGCAAGUCGAGCGAACGGACGAGAAGCUUGCUUCUCUGAUGUUAGCGGCGGACGGGUGAGUAACACGUGGAUAACCUACCUAUAAGACUGGGAUAACUUCGUGAAACCGGAGCUAAUACCGGAUAAUAUUUUGAACCGCAUGGUUCAAAAGUGAAAGACGGUCUUGCUGUCACUUAUAGAUGGAUCCGCGCUGCAUUAGCUAGUUGGUAAGGUAACGGCUUACCAAGGCAACGAUGCAUAGCCGACCUGAGAGGGUGAUCGGCCACACUGGAACUGAGACACGGUCCAGACUCCUACGGGAGGCAGCAGUAGGGAAUCUUCCGAAAUGGGCGAAAGCCUGACGGAGCAACGCCGCGUGAGUGAUGAAGGUCUUCGGAUCGUAAAACUCUGUUAUUAGGGAAGAACAUAUGUGUAAGUAACUGUGCACAUCUUGACGGUACCUAAUCAGAAAGCCACGGCUAACUACGUG
RNAcentral lists this ribosomal RNA (497 nucleotides) under uncultured bacterium. RNAcentral describes it as "partial 16S ribosomal RNA". It matches the Rfam family "Bacterial small subunit ribosomal RNA", at positions 28 to 507 of the family's 1533-position model. The record is from RNAcentral.